GCAGGAGUUGCCAAGCCUGGUCUACGGCGCUAGACUGAGACUCUAGUGACAUAGGUCUUCGUGGGUUCGAAUCCCACCUCCUGCA
This 85-nucleotide transfer RNA is filed under the name Promethearchaeota archaeon. RNAcentral's name for it is "Candidatus Lokiarchaeota archaeon (permafrost metagenome) tRNA-Leu". It matches the Rfam family "tRNA". From Rfam's summary of the family: Transfer RNA (tRNA) molecules are approximately 80 nucleotides in length. Their secondary structure includes four short double-helical elements and three loops (D, anti-codon, and T loops). Further hydrogen bonds mediate the characteristic L-shaped molecular structure. tRNAs have two regions of fundamental functional importance: the anti-codon, which is responsible for specific mRNA codon recognition, and the 3' end, to which the tRNAs corresponding amino acid is attached (by aminoacyl-tRNA synthetases). tRNAs cope with the degeneracy of the genetic code in two manners: having more than one tRNA (with a specific anti-codon) for a particular amino acid; and 'wobble' base-pairing, i.e. permitting non-standard base-pairing at the 3rd anti-codon position. The record is from RNAcentral. Lineage: Archaea; Promethearchaeati; Promethearchaeota.